CUAGUAACGAGGGUUCAAAUUAUAGCUCCAGAUUGAACGCUGGCCGGAGCUCAUGCAAGUCGAACGGCCUUUACGGACUUCGGUCACGGUGGCGAAGUGGCGAACGGGUGAGUAAUAUCCAGGAACGUGCCUAGUAGCAGGGGGAUAACUUCACGAAAGCGUAGCUAAUGCACCGCAUGCGCCCUUCGAGGAAAAGCGGGGACCUUCAGGCCUCGCACUAUUAGAGCGGCCGACCUCGGAUUAGCUGAAUUGGUGAAAUGGCUGGCUCCGCAGAGCGGGCGAUCCAUGGCUGGUUGAGGCAGGACGACCAGCCACACUGGGACUGAGACACAGCCCAGACUCCUGAGAGGCAGCAGUGAAAUUUUGGACAAUGGGGAAACCCACAGUCCAGCCAUCCCGCGUGUGCGAUGAAGGCCUUGGGUUGUAAAGCACUUUUGGCAGGAAAGAAACGGCACGGGAUAAUACCCCGUGCAACUGACAAUACACAGAAUAAGCACCGGCUAACUACGUGCCCAGCGGCGCGGUAAUACGUAGGGUGCAAGCGUUAAUCGGAAUUACUGGGCGUAAGGCGUGCGCAGGCGGUUCGGAAAGAAGAUGUGAAAUCCAGAGCUUAACUUUGGAACUGCAUUUUUAACUACCGAAGAGCUAGGGGAGUGUCCAGAGGGAGGUGGAAUUCCGCGUGUAGCAGUGAAAUGCGUAGAUAUGCGGAGGAACACCGAUGGCGAAGGCAACCUCCUGGGGGGAUAACACUGACGCUCAUGCACGAAAGCGUGGGAGCAAACAGGAUUAGAUACCCUGGUAGUCCACGCCUAAACGAUGUCAAUAGCUGUUGGGGCCUUCGGGCCUUGGUGGCGCAGCUAACGCGUGAAGUUGACCGCCUGGGAAAUACGGUCGCAAGAUUAAAACUCAAAGGAAUUGACGGGGACCCGCACAAGCGGUGGAUGAUGUGGAUUAAUUCGAUGCAACGCGAAAAAAACCUUACCUACCCUUGACAUGUCUGGAAUCCCGAAGAGAUUUGGGAGUGCUCGCAAGAGAACCGGAACACAGGUGCUGCAUGGCUGUCGUCAGCUCGUGUCGUGAGAUGUUGGGUUAAGUCCGCAACGAGCAACCCUUGUCAUUAGUUGCUACGAAAGGCACUCUAAUGAGACUGCCGGUAUGGAAACCGGAGGAAGGUGGGGAUGACGUCGAAAUCCUCAUGGCCCUUAUGGGCAGGGCUUCACACGUCAUACAAUGGUCGGGACAGGGUCGUAACCCGCGAAGGGGAGCCAAUCCCCAGAAACCCGAUCGUAGUCCGGAUCGCAGUCUGCAACUCGACUGCGUGAAAUCGGAAUCGCUAGUAAUCGCGGAUCAGCAUGUCGCGGUGAAUACGUUCCAGGUCUUGUACACACCGCCGUCACACCAUGGGAAUUAGGUUUUUACCAGAAAUGAAUUAGCCUAACCGUAAGGAGGCGAUUACCACAGUAAGUUCAUGACUGGGGUAGUCGUAACAAGGUAA
RNAcentral lists this ribosomal RNA (1495 nucleotides) under uncultured Bordetella sp. RNAcentral's name for it is "partial 16S-23S ribosomal RNA intergenic spacer". It matches the Rfam family "Bacterial small subunit ribosomal RNA". Lineage: Bacteria; Pseudomonadati; Pseudomonadota; Betaproteobacteria; Burkholderiales; Alcaligenaceae. The record is from RNAcentral.